Long non-coding RNA from Populus trichocarpa (black cottonwood), 1707 nucleotides. RefSeq lists it as uncharacterized. Lineage: Eukaryota; Viridiplantae; Streptophyta; Magnoliopsida; Malpighiales; Salicaceae. The transcript has 4 exons. The record is from RefSeq and is a predicted model, not a curated record.
UGAACCGAAGAAGAAUCAAAGCAAAGAAAAUUCUCCAAAAUCUGGUUGAAACUUGAAAGAAGUGAAAUGGACACAAAAGCUUUAGCAAAAUGAAAGAGAGCAAAAACCCAACAAAGCCCCAUCAACUGAAAACAAGCAAAAACCUCAAAAAUCAAGACUUCCUUCAAACUGGGAUCGUUGUGGAGAUGAAUUUGGAGUCAAUCUUGAAAACCCACAUGGAGAUAACCUUAAAAACCAAACUUUGAGGAUGAUGGUCUUGUUUUGCCAAAGAGAAAAGGUGCUGACUUUAAGCACCUCUUAGAUGAAGCUCUAUCAAAAUGUCACCAAGUUGACAACUUUCCUUCUCUUGAGGACUUCUUGGCUGUGUUGGCAAGGUUACUGGUCCUUCUGAUGGCUGGUUUAGACAGCUGGUUUUUGUGUAGAAGAAAUGGUUGCAUGAGGCACACUGUUUUUGAGUUAUUUUGGAUGUUGGUAAAUUAUUGACUUCAAGUGCUUGAUGAAAGAGGAAUUUAGGCAUGGAGUAGACCCCUUGCUUUCAGUCAGGGAGAAAGCAUUCUAUCAUGGAUCGGGGAUGAUAAUUUUGUUGUGGAGGAUAAAACUACUUCAACUCAUGAGAACAACUAGCUAAAGUAGAUGUAUCAGGGAGGCUCUUCAUUGAAGCAGAUCUAUUAGCAACAGAAUUGGGAUCAAAUACAAGCAGCAGCCAGGAAUAUGACCAAUUGCAAACAACAGGAUCUCUGAAUAAUUGGCUUUUGAAGAUUUUUCUGAGAAGAAUAAGGCUGUCAAUCAAAAUACCAAGGUUUUUGCUUCAGGCUUGACCAUAGGCAAUACAGACCCAUUUUCAUUCAUUCAGGGAUCAGAUGUCAAGGGUAAUUUGAAUAGAAAUCAGUGUGGAAAAUCCAAUCAAAGCACAGCUCCUGAGCCCCCAGAACAGUUCAAUGUGAGUUCUGUUGUCCCUAAGAGCAGGCUGCCCACGUUUGAAGCAGAAGCUGCUGAGUCUAACCUGUAUAUGCUUCCUGGCUCGCUUAGUGAGACCAAGCUACUUGAUUCUUCUUGUUUUGGGUCUGGUACUUUACCCAUUUUAGAGAAAAAUGCUCCUGGCACCUCUGCCAGAAGUUAGAAGAAAUCCCACUGGUUCAGCAAAAAACUCCUACACUGCUGCCACCCCGGACAGCAUACCUGAUGAUUUACUUGAGGAAACAUCUGAUUUACAAAGAGAAAGAGGCUGCUACACCUCUGCCACUACUUGCAAGAAAUGCCCUUGCCUCUGCAAAAAUCACUUCUACUGCUGCCACUUUAGAUGAUGUACUUGAUGACAACAUACUUGAUGAUUUACUUUGAGGAAGCAUCUAAUUUACAAGAGAAAGAGGUUGCUACGCCUCUGCCACUACUUGCAAGAAAUGUCUGUCGCUUCGGCAAAAACCACUUCUACUGCUGCCACUCAAGAUGACGUACUUGAUGAUUUACUUGAGGAAACAUCUAAUUUGUCAAACCAAAACAAUUUGCAUCAGCCUCUAGAAAUGAAGGCUGCAUCUUAUGAAAUUCAAUCUUCUUCUCUCCGUCUGUCAGUAAGUCGAAAGUUUUGGAUUGACUUUGAUGCAUCGUCGGAAACAAUUUAACUGCUUGUAAUUUUACCAAACCUCAACCAUGUAUCUUUAUUUGUUGUGCUUAAUGCAAUACAAGGAUGUAUACUUCCAAGCUGCUACA